Molecule: ribosomal RNA, 894 nt
Filed under: uncultured archaeon
Lineage: Archaea
Description: bacterial SSU rRNA
Rfam family: Archaeal small subunit ribosomal RNA
Source: RNAcentral
GCCACUGCUAUUGGGAUCCGACUAAGCCAUGCGAGUCGAGAGGGUUCGGCCCUCGGCAGACUGCUCAGUAACACGUGGAUAAUCUACCCUUAGGUGGAGGAUACUCUCGGGAAACUGAGAAUAAUACUCCAUAGAUCCAGGAUGCUGGAAUGCACCUAGAUUGAAAGUUCCGGCGCCUAAGGAUGAGUCUGCGGACUAUCAGGUAGUAGUCAGGGUAAAGACCUGACUAGCCUACGACGGAUACGGGUUGUGAGAGCAAUAGCCCGGAGACGAUAUCUGAGACACGAUAUCGGGCCCUACGGGGCGCAGCAGGCGCGAAAUCUUCACAAUGUGCGAAAGCACGAUGAGGGGAUCCCAAGUGUUGGUUCGUAAGAAUCAUCUGUUUCUUUGUCUAAAAAACAGAGAGAGCAAGAGCUGGGUAAGACGGGUGCCAGCCGCCGCGGUAAUACCUGCAGCUCAAGUGGUGGCCGCUAUUAUUGGGCCUAAAACGUCCGUAGCCGGUUUAGUAAAUGCUUGGGUAAAUUGUGUAGCUUAACUAUACGAAUACCGAGUAGACUGCUGAACUUGGGACCGGGAGAGGCUAGAGGUACUCCUAGGGUAGAGGUGAAAUUCUGUAAUCCUAGGGGGACCACCAGUGGCGAAGGCGUCUAGCUAGAACGGGUCUGACGGUGAGGGACGAAGCCCUGGGGCGCAAACCGGAUUAGAUACCCGGGUAGUCCAGGGUGUAAACGCUGCUCGCUUGAUGUUAGUUGGGCUCCGAGCUCAACUAGUGUCGGAGAGAAGUUGUUAAGCGAGCUGCCUGGGAAGUACGGUCGCAAGGCUGAAACUUAAAGGAAUUGGCGGGGGAGCACAGCAACGGGUGGAGCGUGCGGUUUAAUUGGAUUCAACGCCGGA